GCAAGUCGAACGCGAAAGGAGACUUCGGUCUCUGAGUAAAGUGGCGCACGGGUGAGUAACACGUGGAUAAUCUACCCAAUGAUCUGGGAUAACAUUUCGAAAGGGAUGCUAAUACCUGAUAAGCCCACGAUGUCUUCGGACAAUGUGGGAAAAGGUGGGGACCUUCGGGCCUACUGUCAUUGGAUGAGUCCGCGGCCCAUUAGCUAGUUGGUGGGGUAAUGGCCUACCAAGGCUUCGAUGGGUAGCUGGUCUGAGAGGAUGAUC
Molecule: ribosomal RNA, 264 nt
Filed under: uncultured bacterium
Lineage: Bacteria
Description: partial 16S ribosomal RNA
Rfam family: Bacterial small subunit ribosomal RNA
Source: RNAcentral